This 64-nucleotide transfer RNA is filed under the name Urodontus sp. URO01. Its description in RNAcentral is "tRNA-His". The record is from RNAcentral. Lineage: Eukaryota; Metazoa; Arthropoda; Insecta; Coleoptera; Anthribidae.
AUUUAAAUAGUUUAAAUAAAAUAUUGAUUUGUGGAGUCAAAGAUGUUUUUCUUAACUUUAAAUA